Non-coding RNA from Hordeum vulgare subsp. vulgare (domesticated barley), 203 nucleotides. The record is from Rfam. NCBI's taxonomy places the organism in Eukaryota, Viridiplantae, Streptophyta, Magnoliopsida, Poales, Poaceae.
CCCUGUCGCCCCACGAGGCGCGGUCAACGAGUCGGGUUGUUUGGGAAUGCGUCCCAAAUCGGGCGGUAGACUCCGUCCAAGGCUAAAUACAGGCGAGAGACCGAUAGCGAACAAGUACCGCGAGGGAAAGAUGAAAAGGACUUUGAAAAGAGAGUCAAAGAGUGCUUGAAAUUGCCGGGAGGGAAGCGGCUGGGGGCCGGCGA